This 804-nucleotide ribosomal RNA is filed under the name uncultured bacterium. Its description in RNAcentral is "bacterial SSU rRNA". It matches the Rfam family "Bacterial small subunit ribosomal RNA", at positions 8 to 810 of the family's 1533-position model. The record is from RNAcentral.
AGAGUUUGAUCCUGGCUCAGGAUGAACGCUGGCGGCGUGCUUAACACAUGCAAGUCGAACGAAGCACUUUACCACGAUUCCUUCGGGAUGACGGUUUAGUGACUGAGUGGCGGACGGGUGAGUAACGCGUGGGGAACCUGCCCCAUACCGGGGGAUAACAGCCGGAAACGGCUGCUAAUACCGCAUAAGCGCACAGUACCGCAUGGUACGGUGUGAAAAACUCCGGUGGUAUGGGAUGGACCCGCGUCUGAUUAGCCAGUUGGCGGGGUAACGGCCCACCAAAGCGACGAUCAGUAGCCGGCCUGAGAGGGCGACCGGCCACAGUGGGACUGAGACACGGCCCAGACUCCUACGGGAGGCAGCAGUGGGGGAUAUUGCACAAUGGGCGAAAGCCUGAUGCAGCGACGCCGCGUGAGCGAAGAAGUAUCUCGGUAUGUAAACUUCUAUCAGCAGGGAAGAUAAUGACGGUACCUGACUAAGAAGCCCCGGCUAACUACGUGCCAGCAGCCGCGGUAAUACGUAGGGGGCAAGCGUUAUCCGGAUUUACUGGGUGUAAAGGGAGCGUAGACGGCGCAGCAAGUCUGAUGUGAAAGGCAGGGGCUUAACCCCUGGACUGCAUUGGAAACUGCUGUGCUUGAGUGCCGGAGGGGUAAGCGGAAUUCCUAGUGUAGCGGUGAAAUGCGUAGAUAUUAGGAGGAACACCAGUGGCGAAGGCGGCUUACUGGACGGUAACUGACGUUGAGGCUCGAAAGCGUGGGGAGCAAACCAGGAUUAGAUACCCUGGUAGUCCACGCCGUAAACGAU